UCCCUGGUGGCUCAGACAAUAAAGAAUCUGCCUGCAAAGCAGGAGACCCAGGUUCAAUUCCUGGUCAGGAAG
Molecule: transfer RNA, 72 nt
Filed under: Capra hircus (goat)
Lineage: Eukaryota; Metazoa; Chordata; Mammalia; Artiodactyla; Bovidae
Also listed under: 1 other name
Rfam family: tRNA
About the family: Transfer RNA (tRNA) molecules are approximately 80 nucleotides in length. Their secondary structure includes four short double-helical elements and three loops (D, anti-codon, and T loops).
Source: Rfam by way of RNAcentral